Molecule: ribosomal RNA, 698 nt
Filed under: Fulgeophyllis laingii
Lineage: Eukaryota; Rhodophyta; Florideophyceae; Gigartinales; Kallymeniaceae
Description: eukaryotic LSU rRNA
Rfam family: Eukaryotic large subunit ribosomal RNA
Source: RNAcentral
UGGCGCUGAAGCGGGCGGCCGACACCACGCCGUCUGGUAAAGAAUGAUGAUCAGAUGAGUAGGAGGGCGUGGCGGUUGUAUCGAAGGGUAUGUGCAGACAUGCCUGGAACGGCCGCUAGUGCAGAUCUUGGUGGUAGUAGCAAGUAUUCAAGCGAGAUCCUUGAAGGGCGAAGCGGGGAAGGGUUCCACGCGAACAUUGAUUGGGCGUGGGUGAGUCGUUCCUAAGUCGAGUGGCGAUUGCUAAGUAGCGGCGAAAGGGAAGCUGGUUGACAUUCCAGCACACGGAUGUGGAGGCGGUGACGCGUAUUGGGACGAACACGCUGGCGGUGGCGCUGGGCAGAGUUGUCUUUUCUGUUUGACUUUGUGCGCGCGGUGUGGAAUCCGCUUGUCGGGAGAAACACGCGUGUCGAGGCAGAGCGCCGGGGCUUUUCCGGCGUCCAGCUCGCCACCGACGGCCCUUGAAACUUUGUCUGCUUAAAUCCACGCCGUGGCGUACCGAUCACCGCAUCAGGUCCCCAAGGUGAACAGCCUCUGCUCUAUAUGAACAAUGCGGUAAGGGAAGUCGGCAAAUUAGACCCGUAACUUUGGGAUAAGGGUUGGCUCUAGUGCUGCGUGGGAGUGGUUGCCCGGGGUUGGGGGGGUUGCCGAGGCCGGCUUGGCGCGGUGCCGGCUGCUGAGGUGAUUUUUCUGUCUUCUGG